Mustela erminea (ermine) is the source of this 2700-nucleotide long non-coding RNA. RefSeq lists it as uncharacterized. The transcript has 8 exons. NCBI's taxonomy places the organism in Eukaryota, Metazoa, Chordata, Mammalia, Carnivora, Mustelidae. The record is from RefSeq and is a predicted model, not a curated record.
CUUUCCAUCCGGAAUUAUCAUGUGUUCGUCUGUCUGCUCCCAGAAGCUGGAAGCUCCGCUAGGCUGGGCAUCACCAGUCUUGCUCAAUCCUGCUAGCCAUGGCAGCUGGUCGAGGGCCCAGCGAUGGAUGAAUGGACGAACCUAGUGUGUGAGUCUGUGAUCCAGACUUCGUCUCUGGGUGCUGGAGGGCUCAAAGGUCUUCGUGGAUGAUUCCAGAACCUGUGUAACCCUGAUCUCACACACAGCAUCCUGCACUCAACUCCAUUAUUCUCCACAGCAGAAAGGCCCAUCACCGACAAAAAAAAUCCACCAGCCUGUUCCCAAGGGCUCAUUUUCCAGCUCUGCUUGGCGCAUCCGAGUGUAUUGUGAGCCAGCACAAAGACCUUGAGGGAGGAAUGCUGCCCAGAGCGCACCCUUCGUAUCCCUGCUUCCCGUUACGUGAAAUUGUGCCGCCUUCCUGCCCACCCUGGCCUGGGCUCUGCUUCUUCUCUCAUGACGAGUGUGUUUAUAGUGGAUGCAACAUGCUGGGCCACACAGGGAAGCUGCAGGGGGUGUCCAAGUUCACAUGUCCUGCAUUCCAGGCAAAUGUUUUUGACAUUGAGCAAUGGAAUGACUCUGCCAGGUUUAGGUCUGUCCGAUUGGAAUGCAACCGAAAAGGAAAGUCCCGGAGUGAUUCAAAUACUCACCUCCCCACAACCCCUGCUUAUAUAUAUAUUUUUUAUUCCUUUUUAAUUUUCCAAUGACCAACUCAGCCCGGCACUCCUACCGACUCUCAGCACUUGUUGGUGCUGAUAAGUGCAACUUCCCAACAGAUAGGAAUGUAAAUCAGAACAUUUUGUUGAGUCAUGUGUACUCAGAGGCUCUUUCCCAAACAUUGCCUCAGACCCAUAAUUGGCAGCUCCCAGGACUCUGCUGGUGACACUGAAUGUCCAGGAAAAGCUCAGUUCAUUUCUCGAAAAAAUGUACUCUCACUCUCUCCAUCUGCCUGGUUGUAAUAUCCUGUUCUUGAGAAAGCCGAACCCCUGGAGGGAGCAGAGGCACAACCGGUUUUGUAGAUAAGUUUGAAAAAUAUGACUAUUGGCCUUUCCCACCCACUCUGGUCUCUUAGCAACAGGACAGCUGAUGGUAUCCACCAGGGGAAGAAAAGCACCGAACAUGUGGGGGAGCCUGUCUGAAUUCUUGCCUGCAGUCUGAUUUAUUUAAACCUUCCUGCAUUCUUGGGAAUGAAGAUCCAGGAGUCACGUCAUGCUAGCAUACCCCUGCCCUUCUUGUGACCUCCAAGAAUGAACAGAGAAGGGGAAAAUCUCAGGACGAGCGGAACACAGUGAGUCUGAAUGAAUCAUCAUGAAGAGGCAUAACUUGUUGGGGCUUCCUAAGACACAGAAAGGAAUCUGGCCAACCUUUCUGUUGAAGCAUUAUGAGAGAGGACCCAUGUCAUGAAGAAAGAUGCUGAGCACGAUGAAUAUGCCAUCUAUGACUUCUUCCAGGUUUCUGAUCCUUCCAGGGACAGGAUCUCAGCCUUUUGGGCUCUUGUCAAGAAACCAAAUUGCUAAAACCAAGCGACUUGUUCCCAGCGGGGGUCAUAGAAAACAACAACAAACAAAAAAAGAACAGGGUUUACAUUUAGAUGACUUGGAGUCAAGCUGCUGUGAGAUACUGGGCUGAGCCUCACUUUUUCCCUCUGCAAAAUGGACAUAACAAGACCGGCUCUUCUGUGUUUGUUCAUUCACCACAGAGAUGGGGAGUAAAACCCAAGAAGCUGCUGGCCAUUGGCUAGAAAUCAAACAAAACAAAGAACUAAUUGGAACUAAGGCUGUACAGAGUGCUAAUCUAUACCAGGCAUGGGAACAGGCAAGAAAAGCCAGGGGCCCAGGCAGCAUAGACGGAGAACAAGAGCAAGGACUGCGUGAAAAGGCCUGGGAGUCACAAAGGAUCCAGGCAAGAACAAGUGGAUGGAUUGGAUUGGAACAUAACAGCAAACAAGCCAAUAUCGAGGACCUAUUGUGUGCAGCUACUGGGCGAAUCACUGUAAGACAAGUGGAGAUGACUGAGAUAUAUUCCCUCUCUCAAAGAAGUGACAUCUCAACGUAGCAUUAGGCGUUUGAAGAUCUUGAUGGAUGGACACACGGGGUGAAAGACAGCAUCAUCACAGGAUGAAGAUAGUGGUUUGGAGACUGUCGAGGAGACCAGGAUGUGGAGAAACAGGGAAAGAUAUAGCUGGAAAGUUGCUUGGGAUCAAACCCAUGAGGAUUCUGAAUGUCCGGCAGAGGAAAUUAGACUUGAUUCUGUAGAUAAUGAUAUGUCAAUCAAGGUGCUUGACAAGGUAAGUGGACAGUAAUUUCUGCUCCGUGGAUCAUCAUCAAGUGUUCUGCCCAGUGAAGAAAGAAGAACUGCAGUAAUUCAAGGUACUGAUUUUGAGUUCCUUGUUCACCUCGAAUUUCUCUUCACUGAUCAGGUCUCUUUACAUAUUAUUUUUAGAACUUUUAAAAUGGCAGCCACAGGAAAACAAUAUCCAAAGCAGAAGAAAAAGGGAACCAAAAUGAAGGGGAAUACCUUCUUCAGCAAAUACUAGCUAUUUACUUUGGGUUUUGUCACUGAUCCCAGGAGAGAAAUGAAUGAAAAUUUACCCAAAAGAAACAUGAGUGUGAAGAGUUAAACCGAAAAAAAAAAGUGCUUUGGACUUUUACUUUAAAAUACACU